Molecule: long non-coding RNA, 368 nt
Filed under: Heterocephalus glaber (naked mole-rat)
Lineage: Eukaryota; Metazoa; Chordata; Mammalia; Rodentia; Bathyergidae
Description: lncRNA (ENSHGLG00100049083.1)
Source: RNAcentral
UGCGAGUCAACACCCAAGCUUCAGGGGCUCCCUGGCUCAGGUCCCUCCCAGGAGUGCGUGAGAUAACAUCUUGAUGAGUUCCUGUUCUCCUGUGCAAGAAAUAAACAUCUCUAAGUUUCACCAUGGGCUACUAUAAUACAAUAUUUGUUGUGAUCUGAUUUUAACAAAGUAUGCAUAAGCAAAAAUGGCUCAAAUAAACACACAAUGCAAAUGAAGCUGAGCACUGAAAUGAGAACUCAGGUCCUGACAUUUACAGUCUCCUUAAGGCAGCACCCAGCAGGACGCAGGGCGCUGUGGAUGUGGAGCUGGAUCGACUGCACCAGCCAGGCUCCAGGGGGCAGGGCCUGGGCGUGUGCGGUAGUGGACCA